GACUGAGUGGUGUAAUGGUAACAUCGUCGCUAAUCAUUGGUUCCUGUUCUGAAUUGUUUAUUAGUGCGGUUGUGGGUUCAAAUCCCACCUCAGUCA
This is a non-coding RNA of Mycena polygramma, 96 nucleotides long. The record is from the annotation of a GenBank genome assembly. Lineage: Eukaryota; Fungi; Basidiomycota; Agaricomycetes; Agaricales; Mycenaceae.